This 20-nucleotide microRNA is filed under the name Capra hircus (goat). RNAcentral describes it as "chi-miR-496-5p". Its record names the gene chi-miR-496-5p. Lineage: Eukaryota; Metazoa; Chordata; Mammalia; Artiodactyla; Bovidae. The record is from miRBase by way of RNAcentral. RNAcentral also lists the same sequence under 1 other name.
GAGUCGGGUACUCGAAUGGA